AGAGUUUGAUCCUGGCUCAGGAUGAACGCUGGCGGCGUGCCUAACACAUGCAAGUCGAACGGACUUUUCAUGAAGCCUAGCGAUUGAAAAGUUAGUGGCGGACGGGUGAGUAACGCGUGGGUAACCUGCCUUGUACUGGGGGACAACAGUUGGAAACGACUGCUAAUACCGCAUAAGCGCACAGCUUCGCAUGAAGCAGUGUGAAAAACUCCGGUGGUACAAGAUGGACCCGCGUCUGAUUAGCUGGUUGGUGAGGUAACGGCCCACCAAGGCGACGAUCAGUAGCCGGCCUGAGAGGGUGAACGGCCACA
This 311-nucleotide ribosomal RNA is filed under the name human gut metagenome. Its description in RNAcentral is "bacterial SSU rRNA". It matches the Rfam family "Bacterial small subunit ribosomal RNA", at positions 8 to 312 of the family's 1533-position model. The record is from RNAcentral.